GAAUUCGCCCUUAGAGUUUGAUCCUGGCUCAGGAUGAACGCUGGCGGCGUGCCUAACACAUGCGAGUCGAACGGAGCUGCUUUGAUGAAGUUUUCGGAUGGAUUUAAAGCAGCUUAGUGGCGGACGGGUGAGUAACGCGUGGGUAACCUGCCUCACACUGGGGGAUAACAGUUAGAAAUAGCUGCUAAUACCGCAUAAGCGCACGGUUCCGCAUGGAACAGUGUGAAAAACUCCGGUGGUGUGAGAUGGACCCGCGUCUGAUUAGCCAGUUGGCGGGGUAACGGCCCACCAAAGCGACGAUCAGUAGCCGGCCUGAGAGGGUGAACGGCCACAUUGGGACUGAGACACGGCCCAAACUCCUACGGGAGGCAGCAGUGGGGAAUAUUGCACAAUGGGGGAAACCCUGAUGCAGCGACGCCGCGUGAGUGAAGAAGUAUUUCGGUAUGUAAAGCUCUAUCAGCAGGGAAGAAAAUGACGGUACCUGACUAAGAAGCCCCGGCUAACUACGUGCCAGCAGCCGCGGUAAUACGUAGGGGGCAAGCGUUAUCCGGAUUUACUGGGUGUAAAGGGAGCGUAGACGGCUUUGCAAGUCUGACGUGAAACUCCGGGGCUCAACUCCGGAACUGCAUUGGAAACUGUCGGGCUUGAGUGCAGGAGAGGUUAGUGGAAUUCCCAGUGUAGCGGUGAAAUGCGUAGAGAUUGGGAGGAACACCAGUGGCGAAGGCGACUAACUGGACUGUAACUGACGCUGAGGCGCGAAAGUGUGGGGAGCAAACAGGAUUAGAUACCCUGGUAGUCCACACUGUAAACGAUGAAUGCUAGGUGUAGGGGGUAUCGACCCCUUCUGUGCCGCAGUCAACACAAUAAGCACUCCGCCUGGGGAGUACGGCCGCAAGGUUGAAACUCAAAGGAAUUGACGGGGGCCCGCACAAGCAGCGGAGCAUGUGGUUUAAUUCGACGCAACGCGAAGAACCUUACCAGGUCUUGACAUCCACUUAAACUUACAGAGAUGUAAGGUGUGCUUGCACAAAGUGAGACAGGUGGUGCAUGGUUGUCGUCAGCUCGUGUCGUGAGAUGUUGGGUUAAGUCCCGCAACGAGCGCAACCCUUAUCUUCAGUUACUAACGCGUGAGGGUGAGGACUCUGAAGAGACUGCCGGGGACAACUCGGAGGAAGGUGGGGACGACGUCAAAUCAUCAUGCCCCUUAUGACCUGGGCUACACACGUGCUACAAUGGCCACGACAGAGAGAAGCGAAAUCGCAAGGUAGAGCGGAACUCAAAAAAGUGGUCCCAGUUCGGAUUGUGGGCUGCAACCCGCCCACAUGAAGUCGGAGUUGCUAGUAAUCGCGGAUCAGCAUGCCGCGGUGAAUACGUUCCCGGGCCUUGCACACACCGCCCGUCA
RNAcentral lists this ribosomal RNA (1402 nucleotides) under uncultured bacterium. RNAcentral's name for it is "partial 16S ribosomal RNA". It matches the Rfam family "Bacterial small subunit ribosomal RNA". The record is from RNAcentral.